CCUACGGGUGGCAGCAGUGGGGAAUAUUGCACAAUGGGGGAAACCCUGAUGCAGCGACGCCGCGUGAGUGAAGAAGUAUUUCGGUAUGUAAAGCUCUAUCAGCAGGGAAGAAAAUGACGGUACCUGACCACGAAGCCCCGGCUAACUACGUGCCAGCAGCCGCGGUAAUACGUAGGGGGCAAGCGUUAUCCGGAUUUACUGGGUGUAAAGGGAGCGUAGACGGUUGUGCAAGUCAGAAGUGAAAGGCCGGGGCUCAACUCCGGGACUGCUUUUGAAACUGUGAAACUGGAGUGCAGGAGAGGUAAGCGGAAUGCCUGGUGUAGCGGUGAAAUGCGUAGAUAUCAGGAGGAACACCAGUUGCGAAGGCGGCUUACGAGUCUAUAACUGACGUUGAGGCUCGAAAGCGUGGGGAGCAAACAGGAUUAGAUACCCGAGUAGUC
RNAcentral lists this ribosomal RNA (440 nucleotides) under uncultured bacterium. RNAcentral describes it as "partial 16S ribosomal RNA". It matches the Rfam family "Bacterial small subunit ribosomal RNA", at positions 338 to 795 of the family's 1533-position model. The record is from RNAcentral.